Molecule: long non-coding RNA, 1095 nt
Filed under: Homo sapiens (human)
Lineage: Eukaryota; Metazoa; Chordata; Mammalia; Primates; Hominidae
Description: HSALNT0318086
Source: RNAcentral
CUCUCCGCCAUUAACUCGGAGCCCGGCGCAGUGGAAAGCGGGCCAAGAAGCAGAGGUCCAGGUUCCAACUCUUGAUUCUAUCACAAAACACUGCACCCGAGGCAGCCAGGCAGCUUCCGAAGACCUCUUGGAUGCAGCAACAUCAGAGGGGUGAUUACCCCCAAUUGCCAAAGAGGUUUCCAGCGCUGGAAGGAAAUUUGGAGAUCAAGGCCGAGUUGGCCUCAGCCAAGUGAAAUGGGAAUCAGGACCAUUACAAAGAAAUUCAAUUAAAAUAAAAGACACAUCAUAAACUUUGACUGGAAAACUCCAAAUGGAAUUAAUAUUACGUUGGUCAAAUUACCUAGAUAAUUGCUUUCAUUUUUCAUUGCAUCUUGAUAGAAAGGACCAAGCUACUUAAAAAUGAGUCCCAAAAUGUAUCCAUUUCAUCUUCUCAAUGACUCCUAAAACCCUCUCCAAAUGACUCAGAUGCAUUAGCUAGCUAUUGCCACAUAACAUAUUACCCCAAAACCUAACAGCUCAAAACUACAACAAACAUCCUCCCCAGCUUUUGAUAUUUGCUGUCUUUUUCAUUUCAGGCGUGGGCCGGGUGAGGAUGUAGUGAUUUCAUGUUGCGGUUUUACUUUGCAUCUUCCUAAUGAUCAGUGCAACUGAACACUUCUUCCAUGAUGGUUGACAAUUUAGCAACCCUCUUCUGUGAAGUAUCCCCAUCUGUCCAUGGGGUUGUCUGUCUUAUCCUUCAUAAGCUCUAGUUCUCUGUAUUGGCUGAAUACAAGUCCUGUUGGGGAUAUACACAUAUAUUGCAACUAUCCUUCCCACUCUCUUGACAGUGUCUGUUGAUGAACAGAAUUUCUUGUUUUCAAUACAGUUCAAUUUAUCAAUUUCUCAGUUAGCACUUUUGAGCACUGUUUUAAGAAAUCUUUAGGCCGGGUGUGAUGGCUCACACCUGUAAUCCCACCACUUUGGGAGGCCAAGGCGGGCAGAGUUAGGUUAGUGCACUUCUGUUUAGGGAGUUAGGAGUUAGUGCAGGUUAGGAGUUUGAGACCAGCCUGGCCAACACGGUGAAACCCCGUCUCUUAAUAAAAAUACAAAAAAUUA